Molecule: ribosomal RNA, 484 nt
Filed under: uncultured bacterium
Lineage: Bacteria
Description: partial 16S ribosomal RNA
Rfam family: Bacterial small subunit ribosomal RNA
Source: RNAcentral
AUUGAACGCUGGCGGCAGGCCUAACACAUGCAAGUCGAGCGGAUGAAGGGAGCUUGCUCCUGGAUUCAGCGGCGGACGGGUGAGGGAUGCCUAGGAAUCUGCCUGGUAGUGGGGGAUAACGUCCGGAAACGGGCGCGAAUAACGCAUACGUCCUGAGGGAGAAAGAGGGGGAUCUUCGGACCUCACGCUAUCAGAUGAGCCUAGGUCGGAUUAGCUAGUUGGUGGGGUAAAGGCCUACCAAGGCGACGAUCCGUAACUGGUCUGAGAGGAUGAUCAGUCACACUGGAACUGAGACACGGUCCAGACUCCUACGGGAGGCAGCAGUGGGGAAUAUUGGACAAUGGGCGAAAGCCUGAUCCAGCCAUGCCGCGUGUGUGAAGAAGGUCUUCGGAUUGUAAAGCACUUUAAGUUGGGAGGAAGGGCAGUAAGUUAAUACCUUGCUGUUUUGACGUUACCAACAGAAUAAGCACCGGCUAACUUCGUG